CUCCAACCCCAGCCCCUAGGCAGAGCUCUCCCUCUAAAUCAUCAGCAUCCCACGCCAGUGAUCCGACCGCAGAUGACAUCUUUGAAGAAGGCUUUGAAAGUCCCAGCAAGAGUGAAGAACAAGAGGCUCCUGAUGGAUCACAGGCGUCCUCCACCAGUGAUCCAUUUGGGGAGCCCAGUGGUGAUCCCAGUGGUGAUAAUAUAAGUCCACAAGACGGUAGCUAGAUAGCGCAGGUCUGGGAGCCAGAGCCUCUCUAUGCGCAGAUCAACAGACCUAAGAAAUAGCAUCAAUGCGAGCUCAUGGUGGGUGCUUCGAGACUGGCAUGGGAAUCAGCGGUGCCACAGGCUCUCUUGUGCUCUCACCUCACCUCAUCCCACAGAGAAACUCACAGUCGCCCCGUGAAAACUGUCUGAAGAGAGAACAGAGUGGUUUUUGGCAACCAUCAGCAGAUACCUAUGGCAGCACAAAAAAAAAAAAAAAAAAAAGCAAAAUAAAACACAACACCCCCACAAAGAUAUUUUCAAAAUAAAUAAAAAAAAAAAUAAAACCCAACAUUGAUCACCAGUCAAGCUGAUGCUUAACCAAGAAAUACCUUGAGCUCUCUCAGCUGGGCCUGAAAUGCCCCGGAUGUGAAACCAUUAUUGUGCUUUUAUUUCGCUACCUGUUGACCACUGUAGAGACCACAGAUGUGUACUGGCGGGCGUCAGAGAAUUGCAACGAGGUUGGCACUAACUCCUUUUAGGCCAAAGCAAGGGAUCCUCUGUGACCACAGUGUCAUCUUCCAUAUGCCUUCUGGCUGUGGCAAUGUGCGUGGCAUCUCUCCACAGGGCCUGGUCUGCCAUGCUGUGUCCCCUGUCCUCCUCUUGUCAUGUUUGAGAAAUAAUGAGUGUACAAAUUUUUGUAUUGCUUUUGACUUUUUUUUUUUUAGAAAGGGGUGAAGUCUACGUGGGGGAGGGAAAGCCUCUUAUGAAGUGAAUUCACUUGAAAUCACAAGGCAAAACAAGUGGUUGGUUCUUCAUUAUACACAAGAAUGUUGCCAAAACAACCCUUUAGUUGUCCUGCAUCCCGAUGAAGAAAGCCAGCUUCUGGAUGGAACCUUCGUUCUGGGGGUAACAAAGGACAUCGCAUCCCCUUGAUGAGAAAGAUGGAAAAUGCAUCCAGUUCCCCUGAGAAGCUGUGGACUCUUGAGUACAAUAAAAUGAUCUCUUUAUUUUUCUGAUACUUCGCUGCUGUGAUGCUGUGCAGACAAGUGUCUUCUCCAUGCGCCAUUUUCAAAGAAAAGUCAUUUGCCAAAUAAUUCUGGUACAAUUCUGGUAAUAUGGUUUUGGAUCUUAGAAACCAGCUUUCUCAUGGUGACAUUCAACGUAACAAACUGACGCUGUGCUCAAAUGGUUCAUCUCUAUCUCUUUUUGUACAUCAGAAAAUUCAAAUGGGAUUUUCUUUUUUUUUAUUUUCUAACUGGAAAAGGAAAACCUUACCAUUAAACUCUUUAACUGUUGAAGGGAAAUGGCUUUAAGGAGUUCUGAUGAUGUAAAUAUGUCAAUGAAGAUGCUUUUAAUAAUACCAUUACACUGUAGAGAAGGUAGCAGAAGGAGUGUAAGGUGCAAAAAAGGAAACAUGAUGGGUGGGGCCCCCUCUCCAGUUUUUCUGGGAUGACUUGUAGGAAGUUAAGGUUCAGAGACAGGCAGAAGUCUUGGGCCAAUCAGCAGCUAGUAAACAGGAGGGGACAGGACUUCAGAGCCAACUUUUCUUAACUUCCCUUAAGCCCAAGGGAAGAGAAAGGAGGCUCCCAUAGGAAGGUUUCAGAUUCCAUAAAGCACCCACCUCUCGGCUCCCACUUCCGCUCCCAUCAGUUCCCUGGACAGAUCGUACGUGAAACAGAAGGAGUCAAUUCCUGAUUUUACACUUAUGGGACAAAAGUCUACUGUCAGUUCAUAUGUCUAGAACACAACGUUCAUAAAGAAUCUAUAUAUUUUUACCCUAUAGAGAAUUGUUAUACAGGUCAAAUAUGUUUUCCUGAUGUUCCUAUGCAGUUACAUGUUGGAUUUGGUGGUUUGACGUAAAGAAGGAAACCCUCAAGAGUCAUGUGAUUGGAUCUGGGAGUAAUUAUUAAUUUGAAAAGUCAGAUUUACCUUGAUAUGAUUCAUUAACAUUGGCCUGUAUGCUUUGGCUUCUUCCUAGCAAUAGGAACUAAAAUGAUUUUGAAGAUGUUCUUAAAGUGACUCUCCACAUAAGAAUCACAAAGUAAUGUCAAGCUAAUUGUUAUUAUUUAGAGCCGACAUUUUACAUUGGAAUAAAUGAACCACAUGUCUAUUAGCGAAUCUAUGUCGAUGCUACCCUACUGUAUUAUGUCCCAAGAGCUUGAGAAACGGGAAGAGUUGUUCACUGACUGCCUUCUGGAGCUGCUUCCUGUUGCUACAGGGCUCCUCCCACAAUGUAUAUCCAUGCUGUGAUGAGGCGCCCCUCUCAUGCAAAGCAGAAAUAGGAAGGAAUAAUGGCCGAGAAUUGUCCUGAAAGCCGUUCUGCUUCCCUGAAGUGUUGGCAAGAUGGGUGGUUGCCACAGGAGACAGCUUCGGUGGCUCUGGCGUCAUGGUGCCAAGUCUUCAUGAGUGGUGCUGUCGUCUCCCUCAUGGUAGCUGUCUGGGUUUGUCCAUCAGUGUCACACCCUUAUCCCUGCUCCUCGGGUUACUGUGACAUGAAGCCAACUCUGACUGGGGUUGCCAUUCCAGGUAUACCAUCUGCAGCCAGUGUCUCAGCAGGUGGUGACAGCCCGGCCGAUGGUCACCCCUCCCUGAGCAUGACUGGAUUGUAACUAGAUCCGAGCUGAAGGAAGAUGCCCAGCUGACACGCUAAAGUGAGGAGGAGAAGGUCGAGAUUUUUUAACUGCCUUCUGCACUUUCAUUGGCAGAAUACCGAUUGUUCCCCCCAGGCAUUUGGUGAGUUCAGAACCACUGUCCCCCCUACUCCAGGAAUAUAGUGACGUGUCCAAGCAGGAGCUGAGGUACCAAUGCUGAAAGAGUUUGGGGAGUCUGCACAGUUCUGGUUAGGCCGAUGGAAAGAUUUGUGUGUUUGACUCACUUCCUCAUCCUCUCCUAAGCACUGAAUUUGUCACUUUAAAUUUUGAAACCAGGGAAACGCCACCUGUCAGUCUGUCCCCAGUCCCCAUAGCUCCUCGGUCUCUCCAUGCCGCAAGACAUUUUUGAUAACUUGUGUUCAUCCUAGCGUCUUCAGCAACCCCAUCAUGUGAUGUACCGGGCACCUUCCUUUAAGACAAUGUUUACUCCGUGGGUUCGGUUCCUUUCAACUUCUGCAUUCUGACACAUAUUUUUUUAAUAAAGAUGAGAAAGAGAAAAAUGACUGUCGCAGUACGUUUCUAGACCUGCUUAACCUUUACCUCACAUGACAGUCCGUUCACAUAUAUGGACACAUUAUUUUUAACUUUAUGUACAGUGCAUUCAACAGAACAGCAAAAUUUUUAGAAAUUUUCCAUUAAUUUCUGUAACACGCCAUGUAAAACGGUUACAAAUAAACAUGUUUGAGAACAACAGCUUAGCCUGGUCUUAUUCCACAGGUUUCCAGCAGCCAGUCAGACAAGGGAUUAGACGAGGAACUGGUGGCUGGCAUUCAGUUUCCACCACACCAGAAAACAACCUCGGUUUCCCUGGCUCUGAGCUGGAAAGAGCAAGCCUCACUGAUGGUCCAUGGUCAGGCCUCACUGGGAUGCUUUGGUUUGUUUGUAUCCAUAGAAACUGACAUCGUUGG
Long non-coding RNA from Microtus oregoni (creeping vole), 3762 nucleotides. RefSeq lists it as uncharacterized. The transcript has 3 exons. The record is from RefSeq and is a predicted model, not a curated record. Lineage: Eukaryota; Metazoa; Chordata; Mammalia; Rodentia; Cricetidae.